RNAcentral lists this non-coding RNA (45 nucleotides) under Schistosoma mansoni. Lineage: Eukaryota; Metazoa; Platyhelminthes; Trematoda; Strigeidida; Schistosomatidae. The record is from RNAcentral.
AUCCAAGUGACGAGUCCCAAAUCGAAGGAAACGUGAGUCCUGGAU